UGCUGCCGGUAGAAUCAGAGUCAAAGGAGCCCCGAGUAGCCUCUUCACCCUACUCUGCUCACACUGCAGUAGACAGUCUUCACUUGUGUUUUCUGGGCCGAUCCAGCACCAGGAAGGCUGCCAGAUUGGCAGUGUAGGAAGCCACAAUGAUCAUGGCAAAACCAGCCCACACCAUGCCUAAGAUACGAGCAGAGAAACUCCGGGGGGCGCCUGUGGGCAGAGACUUGCGUCAGUUCCUAGAAAGCAGAGAAUGCAGCGAUGCAGGCCCUGGGCUUAACCUCACCUUCCCCAAUGCCAGAGUUGAGCAAGACGCCCCAGGAGAACCACAUGGCAGAGGACAGGGUCAGUGCAUCCUCCUCCUCCUCCUCACUGUUCACCUUGAAUCGGCCAAAGGGACUGCAGAGUGCAAAGAGAAGGCGGGAGAGAGGGCAGGAGAGGCAGCUCUGCCCAGCCCUGCCCAGUUCUGCCUGCCCUACACAUGCAGGGGUUGGGCUCUCUGCAUGUGCUCACCUGAAGCGGUCCAGCAGGUACAGCAUCACUGCCACCACAUGAACUGACAGCCCCACUAGCAACCACAGUGUGCUCUGAAAAGGCUGCAUGAAUGAGUCCAAUGUGCUCCGAGGGAUCUCCUGCAGGUGACCAGUGGUCAAGUGUCACCUGGGCCUUCCAUGCCCCCCCAUCCCAUCCCCACCUGGUCGUCACCUGGGCCUUCCAUGCCCACUCAUCCCCACCUGGUCGUCACCUGGGUCUUCCAUGCCCCACCCUACCCAUCCCCACCUGGUCCCUGCCUACCUUCUUGACCAGAAUGGUCAGGCCCUGGUACUUAAAGGGCUUGGAGAACUCUAUGUACUGCGCACGCUCAUUGUUGAUGGUCAGUGGUGCCACAAUCAUGUCUGCUUGACCACUGAGUAGCUCUCCCAUCAUUCCAUUCCACUCCUUUUUGUUGCUGUUGUUUACCUGCAAAGAGACAGAACCAGUGGGGCUGCAGAUGGGAUGACCACAACUCCCUGAAUGAGAACUCCUGUACCAUAGUAGGCCUAGUACAUGAGGAGUACGCCUCCUGCUCCACGGCUACCUCUAAAGCCCAGCCCCAACCAACAGCCACCUCCCAUAAUAAGGCUCCACCCAGCCCAUAGACUUUCUAGUUAAUCCAUCUCAGCUCACAGGACCCUCCCAUUAGCCUCUUUACUCCAUACCCGCUCCUGUGUGCCAAACUUGCCAUCUGCCACCAGGUGCACCUCGUAGGUAAAAUUCAUGGUCCGCGCCAGCUUGAUGAGCAGGUCGAUACAGAAGCCAUAGCAGCACUGGGGCACUGUGUGACGUGCUGUGGGUAGUUAAGGAAUAUUAACCAUCGAUUCCUGACUUGGAGGCCCUUCGUCCUGCCACGCUUUGCCCUGCACUCACCGCUUCCUGGGGACGUGUCAUUAGGCCCCGUACAGAUCACCUUCUUGACAGGGUCACCAUUGACUGUGAACUCCUCCUUGCAUGUGCCAUCACUCAUUGUGGGCUUGACAUACACGAAGGGCUCUUGGUGGAUUGUUACUAUCUGCAUGGAAAGAUAAGAACUAAUACAAGAUAAGAUAAUACA
Molecule: long non-coding RNA, 1588 nt
Organism: Mastomys coucha (southern multimammate mouse)
Lineage: Eukaryota; Metazoa; Chordata; Mammalia; Rodentia; Muridae
Exons: 2
Source: RefSeq, a predicted model, not a curated record